RNAcentral lists this non-coding RNA (31 nucleotides) under Mus musculus (house mouse). The record is from RNAcentral. Lineage: Eukaryota; Metazoa; Chordata; Mammalia; Rodentia; Muridae.
UGNGCUGCCUCAAGUUAGAUUUGCUGAUUGU